Molecule: ribosomal RNA, 425 nt
Filed under: uncultured bacterium
Lineage: Bacteria
Description: bacterial SSU rRNA
Rfam family: Bacterial small subunit ribosomal RNA
Source: RNAcentral
GUGGGGAAUAUUGGACAAUGGGCGAAAGCCUGAUCCAGCAAUGCCGCGUGAGUGAUGAAGGCCCUAGGGUUGUAAAGCUCUUUUACCCGGGAAGAUAAUGACUGUACCGGGAGAAUAAGCCCCGGCUAACUCCGUGCCAGCAGCCGCGGUAAUACGGAGGGGGCUAGCGUUGUUCGGAAUUACUGGGCGUAAAGCGCACGUAGGCGGCUUUGUAAGUCAGAGGUGAAAGCCUGGAGCUCAACUCCAGAACUGCCUUUGAGACUGCAUCGCUUGAAUCCAGGAGAGGUCAGUGGAAUUCCGAGUGUAGAGGUGAAAUUCGUAGAUAUUCGGAAGAACACCAGUGGCGAAGGCGGCUGACUGGACUGGUAUUGACGCUGAGGUGCGAAAGCGUGGGGAGCAAACAGGAUUAGAAACCCUAGUAGUCC